Molecule: ribosomal RNA, 1179 nt
Filed under: Streptomyces sp. SB3
Lineage: Bacteria; Bacillati; Actinomycetota; Actinomycetes; Kitasatosporales; Streptomycetaceae
Description: bacterial SSU rRNA
Rfam family: Bacterial small subunit ribosomal RNA
Source: RNAcentral
GGUGGGGAUGGCACAGGCGAGACGGGUAGCCGGCCUGAGAGGGCGACCGGCCACACUGGGACUGAGACACGGCCCAGACUCCUACGGGAGGCAGCAGUGGGGAAUAUUGCACAAUGGGCGAAAGCCUGAUGCAGCGACGCCGCGUGAGGGAUGACGGCCUUCGGGUUGUAAACCUCUUUCAGCAGGGAAGAAGCGAAAGUGACGGUACCUGCAGAAGAAGCGCCGGCUAACUACGUGCCAGCAGCCGCGGUAAUACGUAGGGCGCAAGCGUUGUCCGGAAUUAUUGGGCGUAAAGAGCUCGUAGGCGGCUUGUCACGUCGGAUGUGAAAGCCCGAGGCUUAACCUCGGGUCGGCAUUCGAUACGGGCUAGCUAGAGUGUGGUAGGGGAGAUCGGAAUUCCUGGUGUAGCGGUGAAAUGCGCAGAUAUCAGGAGGAACACCGGUGGCGAAGGCGGAUCUCUGGGCCAUUACUGACGCUGAGGAGCGAAAGCGUGGGGAGCGAACAGGAUUAGAUACCCUGGUAGUCCACGCCGUAAACGUUGGGAACUAGGUGUUGGCGACAUUCCACGUCGUCGGUGCCGCAGCUAACGCAUUAAGUUCCCCGCCUGGGGAGUACGGCCGCAAGGCUAAAACUCAAAGGAAUUGACGGGGGCCCGCACAAGCAGCGGAGCAUGUGGCUUAAUUCAACGCAACGCCAAGAACCUUACCAAGGCUUGACAUAUACCGAAAAACAUUAGAAAUAAGUGCCCCCCCUUGUGGUCCGGAAACAGGGGGGGCAUGGCUGUCGUCAACUCGCGCCGUGAAAAGUUGGGUUAAAUCCCGCAACGAGCGCAACCCUUGUCCUGUGUUGCCAGCAUGCCCUUCGGGGUGAUGGGGACUCACAGGAGACCGCCGGGGUCAACUCGGAGGAAGGUGGGGACGACGUCAAGUCAUCAUGCCCCUUAUGUCUUGGGCUGCACACGUGCUACAAUGGCCGGUACAAUGAGCUGCGAUACCGUGAGGUGGAGCGAAUCUCAAAAAGCCGGUCUCAGUUCGGAUUGGGGUCUGCAACUCGACCCCAUGAAGUCGGAGUUGCUAGUAAUCGCAGAUCAGCAUUGCUGCGGUGAAUACGUUCCCGGGCCUUGUACACACCGCCCGUCACUCACGAAAGUCGGUACACCCAAGCCGUGCCAGCUAGUUU